This 199-nucleotide ribosomal RNA is filed under the name uncultured bacterium. RNAcentral describes it as "partial 16S ribosomal RNA". It matches the Rfam family "Bacterial small subunit ribosomal RNA", at positions 1294 to 1500 of the family's 1533-position model. The record is from RNAcentral.
CGGAUCGGAGUCUGNAACCCGACUCCGUGAAGCUGGAUUCGCUAGUAAUCGCGCAUCAGCCAUGGCGCGGUGAAUACGUUCCCGGGCCUUGUACACACCGCCCGUCAAGCCAUGGAAGCCGGGAGUGCCUGAAGUAUGCAACCGCAAGGAGCGUCCUAAGGUAAAACCGGUGACUGGGGCUAAGUCGUAACAAGGUAAC